AUUGCUUCAAAAACUUUCCAAAAAAACUAAAAUUCAUACACUAAUAAAAAUACGAUAAAUACAAAAUUCAUGCAACGCAUAUGAUAGCGACUAGUAUUAUAAAUAAUUCAAUGUUAUGGAGUUCAAUCGAUAGUCGAUAGCCCACCAGGUCAUGUUUUCCUGGCCUCCCACCAGCAGCAGGUAUAUCGGAGCGUAGUUGAGAACCCGGUUUGACUUUAAAAGACGCACCACUCGCCAUUUGGUUGUAACUGUACAUAGCACUCGUGGUUUCAUUUUACGCUGUUGCUUGUUAGAAAUUAAUUUAAAUUAAUCAUGUAUUUUUUGUGAUUCAUAAUUUUUCAAAUACAUUUUUCAUUAAAUUUUACAAUCAUGCUAUUUGUACAAUCUUAGUGUCAAAUCACACUUAACACCACCAUAUUCAUCAAUUAUAAAAACUGUUUUUUAAAUCAAUGGUUCAAAUUUUGACAAUAUCAAUAUUGUCGACCACAAUUAUACAAAUUGAUUAAUUCUAAUUUUUAUUAAGAUUUAUUGAAAACUUUGUUUAAUUCAGGAUAAAUGUCAAUUUUAUCUAACAUGUUUAUGCAAGGUAGUAAUUUGUUUGAGUCGAUUAAUUUACAAUUUGAUUGCUCAUUUUAAAUUUUAAGUGGAUUAAACCCUCUUUGAUAGCAAGUUUUCACCUCAAAAAUCAUUUUUCCGACCAUUAUUUCAUUAUUUUAAUCGUCAUUUUUUAUUUUCUCUCUCAUAAGUAGACCUACUUUUUUCUCUAAUGGUUAAAAAUCAAUUUUCAAGACAUUGUUGAACGGACCCUAAAUUGUCAGUUGAAGUAUCAUGAGAUGGAUAUUAUUGUAGUCUUCUCCCCCUCCAUAUCAAGGAACUUCAGCUAGUAAACCUUCUGUGGCUCCACAUAUUCCUCGAAUUCCGAGGUAUUCAUCGCACAGAGCAAAUUGUCAUCGCCGAUCGUCUUUCUCUUCUCCAUCUGGCACUUAUCUGAUGCCUCCAGUGAUUAAGCUGAUGAACUCCUUUUGCAUUCACUGGCAGCGCCUUUUCAUGAUUCUGCUUACGUUCGCGAUUGGGAGAAACCUGUCUUGCUCUUUUCUCGACUCAUUAUUCGAAUCUGCCAUUUUUCGGGGUGUAUAGAACUGAUGAUUUUUUCUAGAUGACAGUUCGAAGAGAAGCAAAAUUUUCAGGUAUUUUAUUAGCACUAUUUUGAAGUGAGAAUUCUGAGCCAUUUUCUGUUAUACACAUAAUGAAGAUAUCAGAAAUUUGGCGAGAGGUAAAAACGAAUCAAAAUUUUUGAAUGUAAAGCGGGUUCGAGUGAAAAGUGUGAGAUCCGUUGGAUCAAAUGCUAUAAUGACACGAUCUAGGAGACACGUGGACGGUAUUAAACCGUUGUUUGUCGAUAGCCAUAAAUGCGAUAGACGAGUUUUGGUACUUUGGCGCCACUCGGUUUUUCAGAAGUGGACUGAUCUUGACCGUCAGUUAGCAUCUAGCACGUAGUGGGGCCUGGCUUGAUCCUGCUGCUUACUUGAAGUACACAUUAAAUGUGCAAGUAAUGAAUUUAGAGCUAUGCUUCUUAACCUUUCACGUAUUGUACUUAUGGCUUAUGGGUCUUUGACCUUCAAAAAUAAGGUUUUCGAUACUCAGCCUAUUUGAAUAUGUGAAUUUGGAUCCGCAAUUAGAUGAGAAUUGCUGAUUUUAAAGUUAAAAAGUCACAUUUUCAGUUGAAUUGAAGAUGUUGAGUGGUUUGGCAAUUUUGUCCUCUAGAUGAGUCAUGUAUAUGUCCCGUACGAUUUUAACAUUUAUAUCGAUGGUUUCGAUCACUCGGGUUUCCAGAUUUACCAAUUUAAAUAGAUUGGUACUCGAAUCCCCAAGGUUGGAAAUCUAUAACCAUACCAUGUGAAAAAUUGAGAGCCCAAACUUAAAUUUACCUGGAUUGUUUUGAAGAAUAGCUGCGGAAGUCUCCAACUUUUCAUGCAAAGAACAUUUUAAUCUCUAAUUUAGCAAAAGUAGCAUUCUCCUCUCCAACCAUUUAGCUUUUGGCAACCUUUCUGCCCUAAAAUUUAUUUCUAAGCUCUGUCCAUAAGAUAAGUAAUGAAUUGGAUUAGGUUUGUUGAAUUGUGCAAUGUUGUUUGCACACC
RNAcentral lists this long non-coding RNA (2138 nucleotides) under Olea europaea subsp. europaea. The record is from RNAcentral. Lineage: Eukaryota; Viridiplantae; Streptophyta; Magnoliopsida; Lamiales; Oleaceae.